RNAcentral lists this long non-coding RNA (741 nucleotides) under Homo sapiens (human). RNAcentral's name for it is "PREDICTED lncRNA (TCONS_00272095)". Lineage: Eukaryota; Metazoa; Chordata; Mammalia; Primates; Hominidae. The record is from RNAcentral.
AAAACAGGUACUGAGUAUAAAACAAUAUAAAACAAUAUGAGAGGGUCCGUCUCUUCCCUCACCCUGAUCUCCCCAAAUUUGGUCGAUAUCUAAGGUUUUUUUUUGCUGUACAACUCCUUUUCUGGAGUUUUACUCACUUUCAACAAGGAAGGUGAGUUUUCCUGCUUCCAUGAUGAUGGAGGGCAGGCAACUCCUUUCUGGAGUUUCAGCUCAAUUCCAACAGGGAAGGCGAGUUGGAGUUUUUUUCCUGCUUAUAGGCUGGUAGAGAGCAGUGUUGAGCCUGGACUCCAUUCCUAGAUGCGAUUCCUCCCGUGAUCUCAGUGAUUGUAUCAGGCGAAAACGAGGAGGGCAAAAUACCGUCCAGAUGUAAACUAGGAGCAGCCGCACCAGCAGCACCAGCAGAAUGCCGUGGUAGUGCGGCAGGCCCUGGCCCCAUGGACAAAGAGAAACUCGUCAGUGGCAGUGGCCACGAACUCAGAAAGCCUGAGGACAGUCAGCAGCUCCUCUGGCUCUUCACUUUCACACUGGUGCAACUACAGGAGCUGAAGAACAUUUUUCAACUCGUUCCAUACCCGGACGUGUUAGGAUCAGAUUCAUCAUUGGACUCCUGGACCUAUCACUGCGGACCUCAAAUGUGCACCUUUUAAGCCCUUUCCUUCACUCCUGACUGAUUGAUUUGGGAUCCACUGCUAAGUCAGACUUUUGAACCAUUGUUCCAGGCAAACUUCUGUUAAAGCUGGU